CGCGUCGAUCCGGCAAGAUGGUAUCGAUGUUCGUUUCGUUGACCGAUCCGAAUAAUGCUAAUGUGUAGAUGCGAUGACAAAAAUUAAGCACACAGAACAUGAAGAAACAACUCUAGGCAAUCGAUACAAAAAGAGAACUCAAGUCAAAUGAGCUAUUACUAAAGCACGAUGCAACUGUUGUUUCAACUAAAAAGUGAGCUGUUGGUAUUCGCGAAGAAAACUCGGCUAAAAAUAAGCGAAUCGACCAGUUUCGAAUGGAAUCUGAAGAGGUUACAUCGAAAUGCACGGUAACAUAAUGGUGUACAACCAAACUGACUGAAGUUCCCAUUCCAAGAUAAACAUGGCAAAACCAUUGUUGAUUACAAAUUUACAGGACAAUUAUUUACAAAAUGACGCCAUUACAGCAGCAAGCCUGAUUUCGAUUGGAAUUUGACUGGUUUUUGCAUUGUUGCCGCCAUCGUCGUCGUCUGAUUACUCGUCUCUCAGCCAUCUGACUACUGGAAAUUGUAUCACAUUGAAGAAUUGAACAGAAUUUCUAAGCAAAAGCACUGGAUUGCAACCAAACAUCGACGAAAACAUCGGCUCAACCGAGAAAAUGAACAAAAAUAACGUGACCCAACUGAUUCCAUUAAAAAGACGAGAUUGUCUUGCUUACAUCUUGAAACAACUAUUUACUCG
Molecule: long non-coding RNA, 678 nt
Organism: Sitodiplosis mosellana (orange wheat blossom midge)
Lineage: Eukaryota; Metazoa; Arthropoda; Insecta; Diptera; Cecidomyiidae
Exons: 3
Source: RefSeq, a predicted model, not a curated record